GGUAAUACGUAGGGUGCGAGCGUUAAUCGGAAUUACUGGGCGUAAAGCGGGCGCAGACGGUUACUUAAGCAGGAUGUGAAAUCCCCGGGCUCAACCUGGGAAUUGCGUUCUGAACUGGGUGGCUAGAGUGUGUCAGAGGGGGGUAGAAUUCCACGUGUAGCAGUGAAAUGCGUAGAGAUGUGGAGGAAUACCGAUGGCGAAGGCAGCCCCCUGGGAUGGCACUGACGUUCAUGCCCGAAAGCGUGGGUAGCAAACAGGAUUAGAUACCCUGGUAGUCCACGCCCUAAACGAUGUCGAUUAGCUGUUGGGCAACUUGAUUGCUUGGUAGCGAAGCUAACGCGUGAAAUCGACCGCCUGGGGAGUACGGUCGCAAGAUUAAAACUCAAAGGAAUUGACGGGGACCCGCACAAGCGGUGGAUGAUGUGGAUUAAUUCGAUGCAACGCGAAGAACCUUACCUGGUCUUGACAU
Molecule: ribosomal RNA, 469 nt
Filed under: uncultured bacterium
Lineage: Bacteria
Description: bacterial SSU rRNA
Rfam family: Bacterial small subunit ribosomal RNA
Source: RNAcentral